RNAcentral lists this ribosomal RNA (253 nucleotides) under uncultured bacterium. Its description in RNAcentral is "partial 16S ribosomal RNA". It matches the Rfam family "Bacterial small subunit ribosomal RNA", at positions 524 to 776 of the family's 1533-position model. The record is from RNAcentral.
UACGAAGGGCGCAAGCGUUGUCCGGAAUUAUUGGGCGUAAAGGGUAGGUAGGUGGUUUCGUUUGUCUGGGGUGAAAGCCUUGAGCUUAACUCAAGAAGUGCCUCGGAAACGGCGAAACUCGAGUACUGGAGAGGGUCGUGGAAUUCCCGGUGUAGCGGUGAAAUGCGUAGAGAUCGAGAGGAACACCGAUGGCGAAGGCAAUCCCCUGGACCUGUACUGACGCUCAUGCACGAAAGCGUGGGGAGCAAACAGG